RNAcentral lists this ribosomal RNA (253 nucleotides) under uncultured bacterium. RNAcentral describes it as "partial 16S ribosomal RNA". It matches the Rfam family "Bacterial small subunit ribosomal RNA", at positions 524 to 776 of the family's 1533-position model. The record is from RNAcentral.
UACGGGGGGAGCAAGCGUUGUUCGGAUUUACUGGGCGUAAAGGGCGCGUAGGCGGCUCGGUAAGUAGGGGGUGAAAUCCUGCGGCUCAACCGCAGGGCUGCCUUCUAAACUGUCGAGCUCGAGCACGGUAGAGGCAGAUGGAAUUCCCGGUGUAGCGGUGGAAUGCGUAGAGAUCGGGAAGAACAUCAGUGGCGAAGGCGGUCUGCUGGGCUGUUGCUGACGCUGAGGCGCGACAGCGUGGGGAGCAAACAGG